AGCGAACGCUGGCGGCGUGCUUAACACAUGCAAGUCGAGCGGUAAGGCCCUUUCGGGGGUACACGAGCGGCGAACGGGUGAGUAACACGUGGGUGACCUGCCCUCAGCUCUGGGAUAAGCUUGGGAAACCGGGUCUAAUACUGGAUAUGACUCCAUGACGCAUGUUGUGGGGUGGAAAGCCUUGUGCGGCUGAGGAUGGGCCCGCGGCCUAUCAGCUUGUUGGUGGGGUGAUGGCCUACCAAGGCGACGACGGGUAGCCGGCCUGAGAGGGCGACCGGCCACACUGGGACUGAGACACGGCCCAGACUCCUACGGGAGGGCAGCAGUGGGGAAUCUUGCGCAAUGGGCGAAAGCCUGACGCAGCGACGCCGCGUGAGGGAUGACGGCCU
This 389-nucleotide ribosomal RNA is filed under the name uncultured bacterium. Its description in RNAcentral is "bacterial SSU rRNA". It matches the Rfam family "Bacterial small subunit ribosomal RNA", at positions 28 to 417 of the family's 1533-position model. The record is from RNAcentral.